GAGCAGGAUACCUCUUUUGCUUGCAUGUGUGACAUGUGGUGGGCCUGGACACCUCACACUCCUCCUGAUGUUAUCCAUGACCUCAUCUGCCUCAUGAGGUCAUCCAUGACAUCGCCCUCCAGGCCACCUCACCCCUUUGCAUGCGUGACACGUGGCGGAGCAGGACACCUUUUUUUCUUGCAUGUGUGACAUGUGUCCUGGCAGGACACCUCAUCGGACACCUCACCCUCUUCUUGGCCUAUAAAUAGGCCACCAAUCUUCCUUCUUCUCUACACAUCAAGAGCACUAGAGAAAAAGAGUGAGAGGAGAGAGUAGCUCUGAAAGUGAAAGCCCAAGAAGGAGUUCUUGAGCUGUGAAGGUCCAUCUUCUUCCUUCUUCUACCUUUCAGCCAUCCUGCUGCUUCCCUGCGAGCUAGCACUCUCCGAGAAGUUGAUCAUUCCGGAGCCUCGCGUGGACGAGUCAUCGAGGCCGGACGCUUGUGCGGCUGCGAAGCAUCCUUGAAGGAACCCCCUUCUAAAUGUAAGAGAUAUGAUCUCAAUUACAGUUGAGAUAUGAUCUCAAUCUUCAAAUCACAAGAAGUUGUGAUUUAUGCAUAUUUAUUUGAAUCACAUAAUCCUCGAGAUCUGAGGGCUUUGUGAUAUUUGGUGUCAAAGCAAAGGAUUAGUGGAGACUAUCUAAUUUCUAGAAACUCUUACACGUGAUCGUGUGACGAAGCGUGGCUCUCCACCCGAGGGCUCAUAUGAUGAGUGCUUUGAUAGGCACACGCGGGUGUCACCCUAUGUAUUGGGACUGAGCCCGCGCCACAUGUGAUGUGCAGUUGAAGACUGUCUUCGACUGGUACCAGAGUCAAAAUAUCUAAAAUAUCAAGCAUGUUAUGGGUUAAAAUGUUUAACCCGUUCUUUCCGCAUAAAAUUUUCUGAAAUUCAUGCUUAACCCUCUGCACGCACACUUACAGUGGUAUCAGAGCCUGUCCAGGUUCUUUGUGAUAUCAAAUAUCUAUGCAAGAUGUGAUCUUU
Molecule: long non-coding RNA, 1016 nt
Filed under: Phoenix dactylifera (date palm)
Lineage: Eukaryota; Viridiplantae; Streptophyta; Magnoliopsida; Arecales; Arecaceae
Description: long non-coding RNA (PDAC_LNC013347)
Source: RNAcentral